RNAcentral lists this ribosomal RNA (325 nucleotides) under uncultured soil bacterium. RNAcentral describes it as "bacterial SSU rRNA". It matches the Rfam family "Bacterial small subunit ribosomal RNA", at positions 26 to 351 of the family's 1533-position model. The record is from RNAcentral.
AGAUUGAACGCUGGCGGCAUGCCUUACACAUGCAAGUCGAACGCGAAAGGGGGGCAACCCCCGAGUAGAGUGGCGAACGGGUGAGUAAUACAUCGGAACGUAUCCAGUAGCGGGGGAUAACCUCUCGAAAGAGAGGCUAAUACCGCAUACGACCUACGGGUGAAAGAGGGGGAUCGCAAGACCUCUCACUAUUGGAGCGGCCGAUGUCGGAUUAGCUAGUUGGCGAGGUAACGGCCCACCAAGGCUACGAUCCGUAGCGUGGUCUGAGAGGACGACCAGCCACACUGGAACUGAGACACGGUCCAGACUCCGUACGGGAGCCGAG